UGGGGAAUUUUGCGCAAUGGGCGAAAGCCUGACGCAGUAACGCCGCGUGGAGGAUGAAGGCCCUCGGGUUGUAAACUCCUGUCAGAGGGAAAGAAGAGAGCCAAUGCUAAUAGUGUUGGCUAUCAGACGGUACCCUCAAAGGAAGCCCCGGCUAAUUCCGUGCCAGCAGCCGCGGUAAUACGGAAGGGGCAAGCGUUGUUCGGAAUCAUUGGGCGUAAAGGGCGCGUAGGCGGUCACGUAUGUCUGCUGUGAAAGUACACGGCUCAACCGUGUGAAGUCGGUAGAAACUGCGAGACUUGAGGCUGGGAGAGGUUGGUGGAAUUCCCUGUGUAGCGGUGAAAUGCGUAGAUAUAGGGGAGAACACUCGUGGCGAAGGCGGCCAGCUGGACCAGCCCUGACGCUGAGGCGCGACAGCGUGGGGGAGCAAACAGGAUUAGAUACCCUGGUAGUCCACGCCGUAAACGAUAGGGCACUAGGUGUUGGCGGUACUGAUUCCGU
This 498-nucleotide ribosomal RNA is filed under the name uncultured bacterium. Its description in RNAcentral is "bacterial SSU rRNA". It matches the Rfam family "Bacterial small subunit ribosomal RNA", at positions 355 to 840 of the family's 1533-position model. The record is from RNAcentral.